CAGCCGCCGCGGGAAUACGAAGGGGGCUAGCGUUGUUCGGAUUUACUGGGCGUAAAGCGCACGUAGGCGGAUCCUUAAGUCAGAGGUGAAAUCCCAAGGCUCAACCUUGGAACUGCCUUUGAUACUGGGGAUCUCGAGUUCGGGAGAGGUGAGUGGAACUGCGAGUGUAGAGGUGAAAUUCGUAGAUAUUCGCAAGAACACCAGUGGCGAAGGCGGCUCACUGGCCCGACACUGACACUGAGAGACGAAAGCUAGGGGAGCAAAUGGGAUUAGAGACCCGUGUAGUCCCUGUCUCUUAUAA
RNAcentral lists this ribosomal RNA (301 nucleotides) under uncultured bacterium. RNAcentral's name for it is "partial 16S ribosomal RNA". It matches the Rfam family "Bacterial small subunit ribosomal RNA", at positions 509 to 809 of the family's 1533-position model. The record is from RNAcentral.